RNAcentral lists this unclassified non-coding RNA (204 nucleotides) under soil metagenome. RNAcentral's name for it is "partial contains 5.8S ribosomal RNA, internal transcribed spacer 2, and large subunit ribosomal RNA". The record is from RNAcentral.
AACCUUAUGGACCUGCGGGCGUAUACCUGCGGAGGGAUCAUUACCUAGAGUUGUAGGCUUUGCCUGCUAUCUCUUACCCAUGUCUUUUGAGUACCUUACGUUUCCUCGGUGGGUUCGCCCGCCGGUUGGACAAAACUUAAACCCUUUGUAGUUGCAAUCAGCGUCUGAAAAAACUUAAUAGUUACAACUUUCAACAAUGGAUCU